This 305-nucleotide ribosomal RNA is filed under the name uncultured Glomeromycotina. Its description in RNAcentral is "eukaryotic LSU rRNA". The record is from RNAcentral. Lineage: Eukaryota; Fungi; Glomeromycota.
UUGAAAGGGAAACGAUUGAAGUCAGUCGUACCGACGGGAAUUCAACUUCUCGAGUGCUAAUCGUGGGUGACGUUGAGCCUCACGGCCUUCGUUGCUUGUGUUGUUGGUGCUUUUGGGGUGUACUUUUCCGUAUUGGUAGGUCAGCAUCGAUUUCGAUCGUCAUAAAAUGAUCGGGGGAAUGUAGCUUCGGUCUCGUAUCGGAGUGUUAUAGACCUUGGUAGAUGUGACGAUUGGGAUCGAGGAUUGCAACGAAUACCCUCUGGGCUAUCCGUCUGACCUCUGAAAGUCGCUCGGGUGUCGAAAGC